This 253-nucleotide ribosomal RNA is filed under the name uncultured bacterium. RNAcentral describes it as "partial 16S ribosomal RNA". It matches the Rfam family "Bacterial small subunit ribosomal RNA", at positions 524 to 776 of the family's 1533-position model. The record is from RNAcentral.
UACGUAGGGUCCAAGCGUUAAUCGGAAUUACUGGGCGUAAAGCGUGCGCAGGCUGUUUUGUAAGUCAGAUGUGAAAUCCCCGGGCUCAACCCGGGAACUGCGUCCGAGACUGGGAGGCUAGAAUCCGGGAGAGGGAUGUGGAAUUCCAGGUGUAGCGGUGAAAUGCGUAGAUAUCUGGAGGAACAUCGGUGGCGAAGGCGGCAUCCUGGACCGGUAUUGACGCUGAGGCGCGAAAGCCAGGGGAGCAAACGGG